AUGGCAAUGGACUCACCAAGAGUCUUGUUCGGUUGUGAGUCGUGGCAAAGUGUGUGUGUGCCUGUUAUAAACUGUUAUUAUCGUGCUACGGAUAUGAUGGAAGUAAUGAGAGUUGAGUUGAGUGAUGUUCCUGUGAGAAUUGCUUCUUGUUGGUGUCGUCUGGUGCAUGGCUUCGUCUCUCCCCCUUCUCAAAGUGAAAGAAAACGCAGUGGCAAGCAAAAUGGAGAAGAUGAAAAAAUGGGAAUGGACGCCACGACACCGCGACCGUCAUGUCAUGGGCAGAGGCACAGCACACACAGUCCCACCGACUGCCUACAAACUGAAAUUCAGAAUUCUCAUUCACCUUCACAAGGAACAUGUGGCUGUGGGGAUACUUAUACUAGAUAUACAUAUUAG
Molecule: ribosomal RNA, 396 nt
Filed under: Triticum aestivum (bread wheat)
Lineage: Eukaryota; Viridiplantae; Streptophyta; Magnoliopsida; Poales; Poaceae
Description: partial small subunit ribosomal RNA
Source: RNAcentral